AAUGAACGCUGGCGGCGCGCCUAAUACAUGCAAGUCGAGCGAGAAGACGUAGCAAUACGUUUGUAAAGCGGCGAACGGGUGAGGAAUACAUGGGUAACCUACCCUCGAGUGGGGAAUAACUAGCCGAAAGGUUAGCUAAUACCGCGUACGCUCCUUGGACUUCGGUUCAGGGAGGAAAGCGAUACCGUGGGUAUCGCGCUCUUGGUUGGGCUCAUGUCCUAUCAGCUUGUUGGUGAGGAACGGCUCACCAAGGCUUCGACGGUAGCUGGUCUGAGAGGACGAUCAGCCACACUGGCACUGCGACACGGGCCAGACUCCUACGGGAGGCAGCAGUAAGGAAUAUUGCGCAAUGGGCGAAAGCCUGACGCAGCGACGCCGCGUGGGGGAGUGAAGGUCUUCGG
This 401-nucleotide ribosomal RNA is filed under the name uncultured bacterium. RNAcentral describes it as "bacterial SSU rRNA". It matches the Rfam family "Bacterial small subunit ribosomal RNA", at positions 29 to 421 of the family's 1533-position model. The record is from RNAcentral.